Small nucleolar RNA from Chionomys nivalis (European snow vole), 67 nucleotides. RefSeq annotates it as small nucleolar RNA U54. NCBI's taxonomy places the organism in Eukaryota, Metazoa, Chordata, Mammalia, Rodentia, Cricetidae. The transcript has a single exon. The record is from RefSeq and is a predicted model, not a curated record.
CGGCGGUGAGGAGAUCCCUACUGUGUUGAAUGGCAGUGAUAGUUUUUUACGCUAUUCUGAGCCGAUA